GGGCGUGUGGCUCAGUUGGUAGAGCGUUCGCUUAGCAUACUACCUCCCACCCACCCUGCGGCGGACGGCCCCGUAAAGGGGGUGUGUGAAAGUGUAUGCGAAAGGUCCUGGGUUCGAUUCCCAGCUCGUCCA
Non-coding RNA from Diplogelasinospora grovesii, 132 nucleotides. The record is from the annotation of a GenBank genome assembly. Lineage: Eukaryota; Fungi; Ascomycota; Sordariomycetes; Sordariales; Diplogelasinosporaceae.